Molecule: long non-coding RNA, 726 nt
Filed under: Trifolium pratense (red clover)
Lineage: Eukaryota; Viridiplantae; Streptophyta; Magnoliopsida; Fabales; Fabaceae
Description: long non-coding RNA (TPRA_LNC001388)
Source: RNAcentral
AUAAAUUCUUGUUCAAAAAAUAAGAUCUAUAAAUUAUAAAGUGUUAAAGUUAUUUUUUACAUGCAAUUAAAGCAGAAAAACAUGUUUGAAAUUGUCAAAUUUAUUCAUGUUAUAUUUAUUUUUCUUUCCAUAUUUCUUGUUUCAACGAACGUAAAUGGUAAACCAUUUUUUUUCCUUUUCAAAUUCUAUUCCUUGCUUCUUACGCAACAUAUUAUUCCAAUUUUAUUACAUUUUUCUUUUCUCUUUCUAAAUUACAGCUGGUUAUAGAUGUAAUUCACAUGCAGCUUGUGUAGACAAGCACUGUUACGAGCCUAAAGUACCGAGGUGUAUCAAAACCCGUUGUAACUGUGUUGACUUGAGGUAUUGGCAAGAUGUGGAUGGAGCACAUUAUGAUGUUUUAGGUCAUGUACCAAAAUAAUUCAGUAUUUAAACUACUCCUAAGAUCGAUCCAUGAGUAUAUGAAUGUCAUGCUUCAAUAUUUUAUGGGUUGUACAUCAUUUAUUUAUUGCGUAUAAAAUAAAUUUUUUUCUUCUUUUUCCUAAUUUCAAGAACCUUGUAUUUUAGGAUUUGUACUUUAAAUCGGUGGUAGUGAAAUGAAAAUAAGACAGCAAAUAGUAUCUUAUCUUCUUCUCUUUUAAUUUUAGAGAUAUAUGUUUUCAAUUCAGGCAUACUUAUAAGACUAUAUGAUUUUAUAGUUGUCAUAAAGUUGUUACACAUUUUAUUUUU